RNAcentral lists this ribosomal RNA (424 nucleotides) under Campylobacter gracilis. RNAcentral's name for it is "bacterial SSU rRNA". It matches the Rfam family "Bacterial small subunit ribosomal RNA", at positions 29 to 450 of the family's 1533-position model. The record is from RNAcentral. Lineage: Bacteria; Pseudomonadati; Campylobacterota; Epsilonproteobacteria; Campylobacterales; Campylobacteraceae.
AGUGAACGCUGGCGGCGUGCCUAAUACAUGCAAGUCGAACGGAAUUUAAAAGAGCUUGCUCUUUUAAAUUUAGUGGCGCACGGGUGAGUAAUAUAUAGCUAAUCUGCCCCUUGCUGGAGGACAACAGUUAGAAAUGACUGCUAAUACUCCAUACUCCUUUUUACCAUAAGAUAAAUCGGGAAAGAAUUUCGGCAAGGGAUGAGACUAUAUCGUAUCAGCUAGUCGGUGGGGUAACGGCCUACCGAGGCUAUGACGCGUAACUGGUCUGAGAGGAUGAUCAGUCACAUUGGAACUGAGACACGGUCCAAACUCCUACGGGAGGCAGCAGUAGGGAAUAUUGCGCAAUGGGGGAAACCCUGACGCAGCAACGCCGCGUGGAGGAUGACACUUUUCGGAGCGUAAACUCCUUUUGUUAGGGAAGAAU